RNAcentral lists this signal recognition particle RNA (300 nucleotides) under Terrapene triunguis (Three-toed box turtle). RNAcentral describes it as "Terrapene carolina triunguis (Three-toed box turtle) Metazoan signal recognition particle RNA (ENSTMTG00000011386.1)". It matches the Rfam family "Metazoan signal recognition particle RNA". Rfam says of the family: The signal recognition particle (SRP) is a universally conserved ribonucleoprotein. The record is from Rfam by way of RNAcentral. Lineage: Eukaryota; Metazoa; Chordata; Testudines; Emydidae.
GCCGGGCGCUGUGGCUUGUGCCUGUGAUCCCAGCUGCUGGAGAGGCUAAGGCUGGCGGAUUGCUUGAGCUCAGGAGUUCUGGGCUACAGUGAGCUAUGCUGAUUGGGUGUCUGCACUAAGUUUGGCAUCAGUAUGGUGAUCCUGGGGAAGCUUGGGGUCACCAGGUUGCCUGAGGAGGGGUGAACCGGCCCAGGUCAGAAAUGGAUCAAGUCAAAACUCCCGUGCUGAUCAGUAGCGGGAUCAUGCCUGUAAAUAGCCCCUGCAGCGUAGCCUGGGCAAGACAGUGAGACACGGUCUCUU